ACCCCGAAGCGGACAUUCCCCUGACUGUUAAUCCGCAGGUCCCAGGUUCGAGCCCUGGUCGGGGAGCCA
Molecule: transfer RNA, 69 nt
Filed under: Betaproteobacteria bacterium
Lineage: Bacteria; Pseudomonadati; Pseudomonadota; Betaproteobacteria
Description: tRNA-Asn
Source: RNAcentral